AGUGAACGCUGGCGGUUGGCUUCACCCAUGCAAGUCGAUCGGCGGCACCCUAAGCGCUUGCCCUUACGGGUGGCGAGUGGUGUGCGGGUGCGGAAUGCCUCGGAAUCUUCUUUUUCGUGGGGGAUAACGCCGGGAACCUUACGCUUAUACUGCAUACGACCUCCGGGUGAAACCAGCGUAUCUUCGUCCCUUGCGCGUUUGACUGAGCAGAUGUCGGCUUACCCAGUUGGCGGGGUAAAGGCCCACCAAGGCGACGAUCCGUAGCUGGUCUGAGAGGAUGAUCAGCCACACUGGAACUGAGACACGGUCCAGACUCCUACGGGAGGCAGCAGUGGGGAAUAUUGGACAAUGGGCGCAAGCCUGAUCCAGCCAUACCGCGUGGGUGAAGAAGGCCUUCGGGUUGUAAAGCCCGUUUGUUGGGAAAGAAAAGCAGCAGGUUAAUACCCCGCUGUUCUGACGGUACCCAAAGAAUAAGCACCGGCUAACUUCGUG
RNAcentral lists this ribosomal RNA (492 nucleotides) under uncultured bacterium. Its description in RNAcentral is "partial 16S ribosomal RNA". It matches the Rfam family "Bacterial small subunit ribosomal RNA", at positions 29 to 507 of the family's 1533-position model. The record is from RNAcentral.